GGAUAACCUGCCCUUGGGUCCGGCAUAACCCCNGGGAAACUGGGGAUAAUUCCCGGAUAACGCACAUAUGCUGGAAUGCUUUAUGCGUCAAAUGGAUUCGUCUGCCCAAGGAUGGGUCUGCGGCCUAUCAGGUAGUAGUGGGUGUAAUGUACCUACUAGCCGACGACGGGUACGGGUUGUGAGAGCAAGAGCCCGGAGAUGGAUUCUGAGACAUGAAUCCAGGCCCUACGGGGCGCAGCAGGCGCGAAAACUUUACAAUGCGGGAAACCGUGAUAAGGGGACACCGAGUGCCAGCGUCAUACGCUGGCUGUCCAGAUGUGUAAAAUACAUCUGUUAGCAAGGGCCGGGCAAGACCGGUGCCAGCCGCCGCGGUAACACCGGCGGCCCGAGUGGUGAUCGUGAUUAUUGGGUCUAAAGGGUCCGUAGCCGGUUUGGUCAGUCCUCCGGGAAAUCUGAUAGCUCAACUGUUAGGCUUUCGGGGGAUACUGCCAGACUUGGAACCGGGAGAGGUAAGAGGUACUACAGGGGUAGGAGUGAAAUCUUGUAAUCCCUGUGGGACCACCUGUGGCGAAGGCGUCUUACCAGAACGGGUUCGACGGUGAGGGACGAAAGCUGGGGGCACGAACCGGAUUAGAUACCCGGGUAGUCCCAGCCGUAAACGAUGCUCGUUAGGUGUAUCGAUGACCACGAGUCAUCGAGGUGCCGAAGGGAAACCGUGAAACGCGCCGCCUGGGAAGUACGGCCGCAAGGCUGAAACUUAA
RNAcentral lists this ribosomal RNA (761 nucleotides) under uncultured archaeon. RNAcentral's name for it is "bacterial SSU rRNA". It matches the Rfam family "Archaeal small subunit ribosomal RNA", at positions 102 to 859 of the family's 1478-position model. The record is from RNAcentral.